This 441-nucleotide ribosomal RNA is filed under the name uncultured bacterium. RNAcentral's name for it is "partial 16S ribosomal RNA". It matches the Rfam family "Bacterial small subunit ribosomal RNA", at positions 338 to 795 of the family's 1533-position model. The record is from RNAcentral.
CCUACGGGAUGCUGCAGUGGGGAAUAUUGCACAAUGGGCGAAAGCCUGAUGCAGCAACGCCGCGUGAAGGAAGACGGUUUUCGGAUUGUAAACUUCUGUUCUUAGUGAAGAAUAAUGACGGUAACUAAGGAGCAAGCCACGUCUAACUACGUGCCAGGAGCCGAGGUAAUACGUAGGUGGCAAGCGUUGUCCGGAAUUACUGGGUGUAAAGGGAGCGUAGGCGGGAAGCCAAGUCCGCUGUGAAAACUACGGGCUUAACCUGUAGACUGCAGUUGAAACUGGCUUUCUUGAGUGCAGUAGAGGUUGGCGGAAUUCGGAGUGUAGCGGUGAAAUGCGUAGAUAUUCGGAGGAACACCGGUGGCGAAGGCGGCCAACUGGGCUUUAACUGACGCUGAGGCUCGAAAGUGUGGGGAGCGAACAGGAUUAGAUACCCUAGUAGUC